GCUUGGCCCUAAACCUCAGUAAUUAGAUAACAAAACUACUCGCCAGAAUACUACAAGCAACAGCUUGAAACUCAAAGGACUUGACGGUGCUUUACAUCCCCCUAGAGGAGCCUGUUCCAUAAUCGAUAAACCCCGAUCCACCCUACCCUCUCUUGCUCAGCCUAUAUACCGCCAUCUUCAGCAAACCCUAAUGAAGGCCACAAAGUGAGCGCAAACGCCGCCGCCGCGAAUACGUUAGGUCAAGGUGUAGCCCAUGAGACGGUAAAAAAUGGGCUACAUUUUCUGUUUCAGAAAACCCACGAAAACCCUUAUGAAACUUAAGGGUCCAAGGAGGAUUUAGCAGUAAAUUAAGAAUAGAGUGCUUAAUUGAACCAGGCCAUAAAGCGCG
Molecule: ribosomal RNA, 388 nt
Filed under: Macaca fascicularis (crab-eating macaque)
Lineage: Eukaryota; Metazoa; Chordata; Mammalia; Primates; Cercopithecidae
Description: partial 12S ribosomal RNA
Rfam family: Bacterial small subunit ribosomal RNA
Source: RNAcentral